CACUAUGCCUAGUCUUAAACUUAGAUAGAACCCUACCUAUUCUGUCCGCCCGGGUACUACGAGCACUAGCUUAAAACCCAAAGGACUUGGCGGCGCUUCACACCCACCUAGAGGAGCCUGUUCUAGAACCGAUGACCCCCGUUCAACCUCACCUUCUCUUGUUCCCCCCGCCUAUAUACCGCCGUCGUCAGCCCACCCUGUGAAGGCCCAGUAGUGAGCAAAAUUGGCAUAGCCCAAAACGUCAGGCCGAGGUGUAGCGUAUGAGAAGGGAAGAAAUGGGCUACAAUUGCUAAAACAGCUAAAACGAAUUGCAAUGCUGAAACUGCACACAUGAAGGAGGAUUUAGAAGUAAGGGGGCAAACAGAGUGUUCCCCUGAAAUGGUUCUGAAGCGUGCACACACCGCCCGUCACUCUCCCCAAGUUAGAACAUUACCUAGUAACUAAAUACCCACAUCCUACAAAGGGGAGGCAAGUCGUAA
This 479-nucleotide ribosomal RNA is filed under the name Nectamia viria (bracelet cardinalfish). RNAcentral describes it as "partial small subunit ribosomal RNA". It matches the Rfam family "Bacterial small subunit ribosomal RNA", at positions 788 to 1491 of the family's 1533-position model. The record is from RNAcentral. Lineage: Eukaryota; Metazoa; Chordata; Actinopteri; Kurtiformes; Apogonidae.